GAUGAACGCUGGCGGCGUGCCUAAUACAUGCAAGUCGAGCGAACAGACGAGGAGCUUGCUCCUCUGACGUUAGCGGCGGACGGGUGAGUAACACGUGGAUAACCUACCUAUAAGACUGGGAUAACUUCGGGAAACCGGAGCUAAUACCGGAUAAUAUAUUGAACCGCAUGGUUCAAUAGUGAAAGACGGUUUUGCUGUCACUUAUAGAUGGAUCCGCGCCGCAUUAGCUAGUUGGUAAGGUAACGGCUUACCAAGGCAACGAUGCGUAGCCGACCUGAGAGGGUGAUCGGCCACACUGGAACUGAGACACGGUCCAGACUCCUAAGGGAGGCAGCAGUAGGGAAUCUUACGCAAUGGGCGAAAGCCUGACGGAGCAACGCCGAGUGAGUGAUGAAGGUCUUCGGAUCGUAAAACUCUGUUAUUAGGGAAGAACAAAUGUGUAAGUAACUAUGCACGUCUUGACGGUACCUAAUCAGAAAGCCACGGCUAACUACGUG
Molecule: ribosomal RNA, 497 nt
Filed under: uncultured bacterium
Lineage: Bacteria
Description: partial 16S ribosomal RNA
Rfam family: Bacterial small subunit ribosomal RNA
Source: RNAcentral